RNAcentral lists this long non-coding RNA (1878 nucleotides) under Agrilus planipennis (emerald ash borer). RNAcentral describes it as "uncharacterized LOC108733710, transcript variant X5". Lineage: Eukaryota; Metazoa; Arthropoda; Insecta; Coleoptera; Buprestidae. The record is from RNAcentral.
GACUGAUGUCAUGUUGGUAUGACUCGGUUGUGCUCGGUUGGUUCUCAUUCUGAAAACAUGACGCAUAAGACGAGUCUAAUUUCCAAUAUCUCACUUCCACCUGGAAAUCAACGUCAAUACCAGUUUCUAUGUCUACAUCAUGUCAUAUAAAAUGACGUCUGAAGAUUACCAAAAUGAAAAAGUAACUAACCACGUAGUACAUCAGUCAGCAAGGAAAUGAUUGAACUCAAUCGUCACCGUGGAAAAGUUUAUCAGGGUGGAAUGAAUGAAAUGAAUAUCGCAACCCAAGCCGAGUGCCAGAACCGAUAUUUCGAUGGUAUUAACUGACAGUCCCUUGAAGUGGAUUUGAGUGGUAACCGUUCCAACUAGGAUCCACUUUAUAAGUCACCACUGAAGCAACUAGAAGAAUAAGCACCAAAGACCUCAAUGGUUCGGAAAGCAGUUUAAUCCGUACAACUAAAAAUGGAUCAAUGGUCAAGUGAACCCUUUUUGUUCAUUAGUCUUAUCACCGACUAAAUUUCUUCAGACAUCGGAAGGAUCUACUAUACUUAGCAGGACUACAGAGUUUAUUCCCCAAUCCAUUAACCGAAGAACAAUAAAAUACUUCUAUAAGCCCGUGACAAAAUCAUUGAUGUAAUUAAUUAGUUUUUUAACUCCUUAGAAUAAGAGAACCGGAAUUCAUUAAAUUACAGAAGAAAUUCAUUGAAAACAUUCACAAUAUCACUGAAGAAAUUUAUUGGAAUCUUUGACUGGACAACCAAGAAGAGUGGGAUAGCAAGAUACUCUUCAAGCCUUCAAAAGGACCACUGAGAAAAUUCGUUGGAAUAAAAAUAAAUAACUAAGUGGUUGCUAUAACUCGGGAGGACGUUCUUGAAAAAUUCGUUGAGAGCGUUGACAGGACCAAAUAAUUCGUUGGGAAUCCUGGCAGGACCAUCCUGAUAUAUCUGUGAAGAAGUAUGUUGGAAUCAUUGACUGGACAACCGAGAAGAAUCAUACGCUUUGGGCUGGAGUACGAACGCCACACUUAAUUAUUUGUCAGGAUCAUCGAGAUAGGAUAACAAGAUACUCUUCAAGCCUUGAAGAGGACCAUUAAGAAAAUUCGUUGGAAUCCUUCAAAUAACUAAGUGGUUGCGACAACUGGAAAGAACCUUCUUAAAGAAUUCGUUGGAGCGUUGGUAGGACCAGAAAAUUCGUUGGGAAUCCUGGCAGGACCAUCCAUCUAGGAGAUUGGUUGAAGCAAUUGCAACUACCACCAUGGAUCGGAAAUUAUAUAAAGUAGAUCAGCAUAAUAAAAGAAUGAAGAGCUCAUAAGAUCACAGAAGAAAUUCAUUGAAAACAUUGGCAAUAUCACUUGAGAAGUUUAUUGCAAUCUUUGACUGGACAACCGAGAAGAGAUAACAAGAUACUCUUCACGCCUUCAAAAGGAACACUGAGAAAAUUCGUUGGAGCGUUGGAAAGAUCUGAUGAUUUUUUGGAAAUCCUGGCAGGAUCAUCCAUCCAGCAGAUUCUUUAAAAUGGACCAGCAUGAAGGAAAUGAUGGAGAGAUUUGAUUAUUUAUGUGUCGAAUGGGGUUCAUUUUGGAAUUAAGUAAAAAGAUAUGGAAUGGAAAUGGAAUUAUUUGAAAUAGAAUUGGAUAAAGAAAUGGAAUUUAUUUGAUUAUGGAAUUAAAUAAAGGAUAGACUUAACUGUUUAGGGAAUGGAAUUAAUUAAAUAAGGAAUAUGGAGGAUAUGUCGAAUGAGUUAAGAGGGAGGUUGUACUGUGUUGUGUUAUGUAAUGUAAUUGAAAUGUAUUAUUUAGAUGUACUAAUAUUUAUUUAUGUUACACAUUUACCACUUUAAAUGUAAGUUUAUGUGAGUAUAUAAAUUGUUUAAAAAAAA